AUACUUACCUGGCAGGNGAGAUAACAUGAUCACGAAGGUGGUUUUUCCAGCGUGAGGCUUAUCGAUUGCAUUCCAGAUGUGCUGACCCCUGCAAUUUCUUCCAAAUGUGCGAAACUCGACUGCAUAAUUUGUGGUAGUGGGGGACUGCGUUUGCACUCUCCCCUG
RNAcentral lists this small nuclear RNA (165 nucleotides) under Neotoma lepida (desert woodrat). Its description in RNAcentral is "U1 spliceosomal RNA". It matches the Rfam family "U1 spliceosomal RNA". Rfam says of the family: U1 is a small nuclear RNA (snRNA) component of the spliceosome (involved in pre-mRNA splicing). Its 5' end forms complementary base pairs with the 5' splice junction, thus defining the 5' donor site of an intron. The record is from Rfam by way of RNAcentral. Lineage: Eukaryota; Metazoa; Chordata; Mammalia; Rodentia; Cricetidae.